GCGACCCCAGGUCAGGCGGGACUACCCGCUAAGUUUAA
RNAcentral lists this ribosomal RNA (38 nucleotides) under Rigiopappus leptocladus. RNAcentral's name for it is "partial 26S ribosomal RNA". Lineage: Eukaryota; Viridiplantae; Streptophyta; Magnoliopsida; Asterales; Asteraceae. The record is from RNAcentral.